Carassius auratus (goldfish) is the source of this 196-nucleotide long non-coding RNA. RefSeq lists it as uncharacterized. The transcript has 2 exons. The record is from RefSeq and is a predicted model, not a curated record. Lineage: Eukaryota; Metazoa; Chordata; Actinopteri; Cypriniformes; Cyprinidae.
AAUCAGAUGAGUGUCUCAUUAGAUUAUCAGCAGUCAUCAAAACCUGCAAAAGAGCUCUGCUAAAUGAUUGUGGCUUAACUGACAAAAGCUGCCCAGCUCUGGCUUCAGUUCUUGGAUCAGAUACCAAUCUGAAAGAGCUGAACAUGAACAAUAAUAAUCUGCAGGAUUCAGGAGUGAAGCUGCUCUGCACUGGACU